UCUCUUUUAUCAGCUGGAAUCAAAUAAUUCCACAUUUCAUGAAGCACAUUUUAGUAUUUAUUAGUGGUAACCAUCCCUGAACAAUGAACCAAGUUCAGCAUCUUGAGUUGCUCCUUUUGUAUCGGUUUACCUGAUAACAGGUCUCCCAUUAGGUUGUCCAUGUCAACCAUGCCUGCCAGCACUAAUUAUCAUCAUUAACUACUGACAAGGAUCCCGAUGACCACAUUUGAUACUGAAGAUGCUUCCCACUGCCAUGCUUAAUUCACACAUACAUACACUAAUAGCCACACCAUCUUUUCCACAUUUUAGAUUAACAAAUCCAAUCUCACGGAUGUUUGAAGUUCGAAGAAUGCUCGUCCCUUUUUUUGUACCCGCUCUAUUGGUUCCAUUGUACUAAUCAAAUCAUGUUUAUAAAUCUAAUUGAUCAAUGCUUGUUCUUUGGUAUUGGAGUCUGGUCAUACCUGAGCACUGUUUAUAAGUAUUCACCCUACUCUCCAAGGUAUCACUAUAAGCAAAAUUUGAAGUGUUAGUCCAAAAACUUUGAUUUUUCUUUAUCCACUUCCAUCCCUGUUGUAUCAAAAAGGAAAACUGAUUUUGAUAUUGUUCUUCAAUGGUCGGCAGUAUUCAUACUCUCAAACUUUCAAGGUCUUAAUUAUGUAGAUGGAGUCCUCUUUUUUUGCUUUAAAUUUAUUAACAGUUUGUUCCCAAUAGAAGCAUGGAUUGCAUUGCCCUACACAGAGAGAACAUUAGCUAGCUUCAUAAAAGGAAAACUGAAGAGACAUUAUAUAUGUAAUACUUGGACCUUUUUAUCUCACAAAAUCUUAACAGUGCUAAUGAGUUCAUUAGUUGAUAAGUUAAUUGUGUCCUAAAGUCGUAAGACUUUGAGACUUUGACUUUGAUGGUCCAUGUCUCGCUUCGUGUAGUCAAUGAAUUCAGUGGUUUGGGUGCCAUAUUCCUUGAGGCCCUAAAAAUAUAAGAACAAAAUGUUGAUUAGUAAAGUAAGUAUAUAACGACAUGACAACUUUAUAAAUACAAAAUUUUAUUUUGCAAUGGCCUCUAGUGAUUAUGUGAUCACAAAGUAAAUUUAAGAUUUUUUUAACUGGAAUAGAUAUAUGAAACCAUAUUAUGAAUGAAUAUAUUUUUUGACUAUUGAUUUGAUCUUUUGUUUCAGAAUGGAGCUGUGGCAUUAAGACAGAAACCCAAUAUCGAAUUUGAGUUGGUACUUACUUGAGGUGGUCUGAUUGCUCGAUGGAGCCAGCCGGUGUCCGCUGGAGGAAGACAAUGCCGAAGUGCCACUGGUUGGAGGAAGUUGACUUUGAAGUGUCGUUCGCGGGAGGAAGAUGAUGUACAAGGUAUAUCAUCUAGUCUAGAGGACAAUUAACCCUUGAGGCGUAAUUGCUCUGGUUUGGGCAAUCAAAUCUCUGUACAUUACUGUGAGAAUUUGGAGAGAUUGCAUCUCUGAACUUUUUUUUGUGCCUGUUCUUUUUAUUGUGGGAUGGUCUGAUUGCUCAUGGAUGGUCAAACCUGUUGGGAUCAUGAGGUUUCUAUUGUGGGAUGGUCUA
Molecule: long non-coding RNA, 1562 nt
Organism: Aegilops tauschii subsp. strangulata
Lineage: Eukaryota; Viridiplantae; Streptophyta; Magnoliopsida; Poales; Poaceae
Source: RefSeq, a predicted model, not a curated record